GUGAAGACGUCUUUGGACUUCAAGAAAUAUAACUUAACAUGGCCCAUCUGGAACACUGACAGCACGUUGUCAGAAUUGCCACAAAAUGGCUGACAUGCCCCUGGACCCGCUCUGC
Python bivittatus (Burmese python) is the source of this 115-nucleotide non-coding RNA. Lineage: Eukaryota; Metazoa; Chordata; Lepidosauria; Squamata; Pythonidae. The record is from RefSeq and is a predicted model, not a curated record.